GGGGAUCUGAGGCACACAGCUGUUAAAUAACUUGCCCAAGACCAUCUCUAGAAUGUGGAAGGCUCAGGAUUUGAAUCCAGGCAAUGUGGCUUCAGAGUUCGAGCUCUUAACUGCUCUGCUGUAUUUCAUCUUCUCCAGGCAUUGUCCUUUUUCCUCCCUGAAUACAUUUAAAUUAACAGCUCACACGCAUAUCUUCACGUUUGUCUGGCAUAUUCCUUCAUGUUUGACUUCCUUUCCGGAGUAACCGAUUGUCAGG
Molecule: long non-coding RNA, 256 nt
Organism: Felis catus (domestic cat)
Lineage: Eukaryota; Metazoa; Chordata; Mammalia; Carnivora; Felidae
Exons: 2
Source: RefSeq, a predicted model, not a curated record